UACGGGGGGGGCAAGCGUUGUUCGGAAUUACUGGGCGUAAAGGGCGCGUAGGCGGCGCAUUUAGUCAGGCGUGAAAGUCCUGGGCUCAACCUGGGAACUGCGCUUGAUACGGGUGUGCUAGAGGAUGGAAGAGGCUCGCGGAAUUCCCAGUGUAGAGGUGAAAUUCGUAGAUAUUGGGAAGAACACCGGUGGCGAAGGCGGCGAGCUGGUCCAUUACUGACGCUGAGGCGCGACAGCGUGGGGAGCAAACAGG
RNAcentral lists this ribosomal RNA (253 nucleotides) under uncultured bacterium. RNAcentral's name for it is "partial 16S ribosomal RNA". It matches the Rfam family "Bacterial small subunit ribosomal RNA", at positions 524 to 776 of the family's 1533-position model. The record is from RNAcentral.